Molecule: long non-coding RNA, 1997 nt
Organism: Micropterus salmoides (largemouth bass)
Lineage: Eukaryota; Metazoa; Chordata; Actinopteri; Centrarchiformes; Centrarchidae
Exons: 4
Source: RefSeq, a predicted model, not a curated record
GUGAGCGUACCACCCCUAUUCUGUUAACACUGUGUGAAACUGAGCAAGGAGACGCCACUGGAUCUUGAGUGAAAAUCUGUCAAAUUACCAACUUAAAACAAACUCUCCUGCGAUAAAUAACCUUACUGAGGUGGACCGUUAUCUGAGCGGAUGUGUGGGGUUGUGUUAAUCACCUGCGGCACAAGACGUUGAACUUUCGUUUUUGGAUUGUGUCUUCAGUUUUUGGAUCAUCAAUCUUCAACUUCAUUAUUGUGGAGCCGACCUGAGAGUGGAGGUCUGCACCGGAAGUGUUUCCACAGUGGAGGUCUGCAGUUGGACCCUCUUGAAAAUUCCCGCCUUGUUUCUCCACUGAGGACGUCUGAGAAGUUGGAGCUGAAGCAUGUGAGGAAAAUAUAAGCAUCAAUCACUUACAGUCCCCUCCAAAAGUAUUGGAACGGUUUCUGCGCCUGGAUCAGGGAGACACUGAUGAGCCAAAUGCAGCAGAACUGAGGCAUUAUGUAUGUCCACCUUGAUUAGCCUCCACAAAUGAAAUUUCAACAAAAGAAACGCAUGAUUAUAGUCGCCAUCCUCCUCAUUCUCUCCCUGUACUGGAUAUUGAGGUGGGUGAAAUCACUGGUCUGAUCUGCUUCACUUUAUCAUCCAAUUCCAACUGUGGCCUUAUAUGUGGCUCAGAUAUGGAGGGUCCAUAUUGCAAUUCCUUUUUGUCCCUAUUAAAAACCACAGGUGGUGAAAAAUAAAAUCUGUGACUUAAAUAUACACUCACUUUGUCAAGCUUAUCCUGUAUAUUAUUUACAGUUACAGAGGAAUGUUUCCCCAUUAUUUUAAAUAUACAUAUAUAAAUGUCACCCUUUUUACAGGAAAUUCUGGAUUUCUUACUGCUCUUGAAGUGGUGUUCUAGUUUUCUGAUUCAUAUUGAUUUGGUUAUGUGGUAAUGGUCUUUAUGGGAACAGAAUUUACCUAGAAGCUUCAGGUACAAAAACCUCAAUCAAUGAUCACCUUUUUACUUCAGCAUAUCAUUUGAUCAGUAUAUGGAAACCUUUACAUUCAGGACCAGCCGUGGCAUAGGUGACAUAGGCCGUUGCCUAGGACGCUAUGCUGUGCGCUAAUCAAUUCUGCCCAUCUGAUAUAAUCAUCAAAAAACUGAAGCGCAACCUUUCUCUGUUUGGAACUGUGAGCUGCACUUUACUGGAACUGCUGAAGUUAAUAUGUGUUUGGAUUUGUGGUGGGAUUUUUUGCCGAAAUAGUAGUGUUAUCUGAAGUCAGUCAGACUCGAAAAUGUGCAGUUUCACUGUAUUGGGGUGGUCUGGGGGGCCUGGCCUCACUCAGUGCAACACAUCUCCUUCGCAUAGAGUGGAUCAGGUUUUUGAUUGUGGCCUGUGGAAUGUUGGUCCACUACUCUUCAAUGGCUGUGCGAAGUUGCUGGAUAUUGGCAGGACCUGGAACAUGCUGUCGUGUACGCCGAUCCAGAGCAUGUGCCAAAUGCCAUCAAAUAUGAGCAUUUGCCCACCAAAGCCGGUUAUGACGACUAACUGGAGUCAGGUCGAGACCCCGAUGAGGACGUCGAGCAUGCAGAUGAACUUCCCUGAGACGGUUAAUGACAGUUUGUGCAGAAAUUCUUUGGUCAUGCAAACCGAUUGUUGCAGCAGAUGUCCGGGUGGCCGGUCUCAGACGAUCUUGGAGGUGAAAAUGCUAGAUGGGGAGGUGGUGGGCUGGUGUGGUUACACAUGGUCGGCAGUUGUGAGGCCGGUUGAAUACUGUCAUAUUCUCUGAAACGCCUUUUGGAGACGGCUUAUGGUAGAGAAAUGAACAUUCAAUUCACGGGCAACAGCUCUGGUGGACAUUCCUGCAUGCACCAUGCACACUCCGCAUGAGAGCUGGCAUGAUGCGUGUCAUGUGGCUGUCCGGCCACUUUGUCUGUCAGGAGAGCCCGGGGUCAGGGCGGUGUUUGGCUGCAGCGUGGUGCAGGUGGCAACCGCUGUUACGAGGAGAGCCCCGUG